GGAUUGACCAAAACUGGCUUUGAACUGAACCGGAACUGGCCAGUUCCCCUGGAAUCAAACCAAAAUCAGGAGAGACCUUGCAGUCUGGGUCCAGUCCCACUGAACCUUGAACUGGAACUGCUGCUACUAGGCCCUUUGGCAAGGUCUAGAUACAGAGAUAAAUCACAAUAUUAAGUAAAUAUCCAACAUUUCAAUCAGCUGAAAAAUAAAGUAAUUAUUCCUUGGCAAAUACAAUGUGCUUCAGAGUGAGAACUACAAUAGCAAACUUUGCUCCUCAAAACCUCAUUAAAAAAAUAAAUAAAUAAAUAA
Molecule: unclassified non-coding RNA, 309 nt
Filed under: Hevea brasiliensis (rubber tree)
Lineage: Eukaryota; Viridiplantae; Streptophyta; Magnoliopsida; Malpighiales; Euphorbiaceae
Source: RNAcentral